UGGCUCAGAUGGUGGAGCAUGAGACUUUCGAUCUUAGGUGUGUGAGUUCAAGCCCCAC
RNAcentral lists this transfer RNA (58 nucleotides) under Felis catus (domestic cat). It matches the Rfam family "tRNA", at positions 8 to 63 of the family's 71-position model. Rfam says of the family: Transfer RNA (tRNA) molecules are approximately 80 nucleotides in length. Lineage: Eukaryota; Metazoa; Chordata; Mammalia; Carnivora; Felidae. The record is from Rfam by way of RNAcentral.